RNAcentral lists this unclassified non-coding RNA (208 nucleotides) under Hevea brasiliensis (rubber tree). The record is from RNAcentral. Lineage: Eukaryota; Viridiplantae; Streptophyta; Magnoliopsida; Malpighiales; Euphorbiaceae.
AAGAUUGCAAACGGUACAGACAAGGCAAUGCCAGCAACAAUAACAGUAUCAGUAGUGAUGUGCAAUUGACAGAGGUAGCAAUUCUGGUUGUUGAGAUAAAUCACAUAAUGUUAUACACAGCUAUUGAAGGUGUCAUAAUACCAAUAAUUGAGGUAGAAGCAACGUUGACAAUAGUAUCACCACAAUUCUGUUUGUUAAAAUAAUGAAA